Megalopta genalis is the source of this 773-nucleotide long non-coding RNA. RefSeq lists it as uncharacterized. The record is from RefSeq and is a predicted model, not a curated record. Lineage: Eukaryota; Metazoa; Arthropoda; Insecta; Hymenoptera; Halictidae.
CGAUGUUUACGGGUAUAGUAGCGCAAGACUUUAGAAGAGACAGAAUCGUCCUUCUCUCUGUUGAUAACAAUAUCGCGGAAGUGAAAGUGAAGGAAAAAAUUCGUCGAAGCGUCAAUUUAUCGUGACGCGUACGUAUAGUGGUCGGUUGAUAAGGUGUAUUUUUAAAAGUACCGAUGAAGCACGCAAUCAAAAUUACAAUAAGAAAAUUCCGGUCGCAGUCACGUUGUCGAGCUUUGCGCAGUUGCCAGAUGACUCUACAUUGUGCAUUAUGCGGACGACAGUGACGCCUUUCUUGGAGAAAUAAUGAAACUCUGGUCCAAGCUCUUAUUAUUAACCGAAAUCGGAGGCACCACAAGCGUAAUGUGUAGCCUACAAACUUUCUACAAAACUUAAUCAACCGAAAAGUCAACUACAAGCACAGGACUGAUCAUAAGAAUCUUCUACAUCGAUACCGUGUAAGAAAACCCAACGACAAUAACAUGUUUAAGUUAUCGCAUAGUGGCAAGAUGGUGCUGUUAUUUAUUUUCCCGCCAAAUUCUUCCAUUCGUCGCCGUUUGUGACGGCGUAAACGGGACGCGACUUUCAUUUAUCUUGAUUAAUCUGUUUGUCGCCCGCGUUGAGAUUAAAUUAAAUAUUUGCAUAUUUAUCAAGCACAAGUAUACACAAUGUAUAUCGUUGAAAAUGUGAAGCAGUUCGGUGGAUCGUACAUUGUAUAUCGCUUUGAUAUAUGACUCUUAUCGAGACUUGAGAAUAAAAAAAAUUUCAGCACCGGA